RNAcentral lists this ribosomal RNA (236 nucleotides) under uncultured bacterium. Its description in RNAcentral is "partial 16S ribosomal RNA". It matches the Rfam family "Bacterial small subunit ribosomal RNA", at positions 100 to 334 of the family's 1533-position model. The record is from RNAcentral.
CGGGACGGGUGAGUAACGCGUGGGUAACCUGCCUUAUACUGGGGGAUAACAGCCAGAAAUGACUGCUAAUACCGCAUAAGCGCACAGAACCGCAUGGUUCGGUGUGAAAAACUCCGGUGGUAUAAGAUGGACCCGCGUUGGAUUAGCUAGUUGGCAGGGCAGCGGCCUACCAAGGCGACGAUCCAUAGCCGGCCUGAGAGGGUGAACGGCCACAUUGGGACUGAGACACGGCCCAG